CAGAGGUCCCGAGCGUUGUUCGGAUUCAUUGGGCGUAAAGGGUGCGUAGGCGGCUUUUUAAGUCUGAUGUGAAAUCCCGGGGCUCAACCCCGGAACUGCAUUGGAUACUGAGGAGCUAGAGUACUGGAGAGGAAACUGGAAUUUACGGUGUAGCAGUGAAAUGCGUAGAGAUCGUAAGGAAGGCCAGUGGCGAAGGCGAGUUUCUGGACAGUUACUGACGCUGAGGCACGAAGGCCAGGGGAGCAAACGGGAUUAGAUACCCCGGUAGUCCUGGCAGUAAACGGUGCACGUUUGGUGUGGGAGGAAUCGACCCCUUCCGUGCCGGAGCUAACGCGUUAAACGUGCCGCCUGGGGAGUACGGUCGCAAGAUUA
Molecule: ribosomal RNA, 372 nt
Filed under: uncultured organism
Description: bacterial SSU rRNA
Rfam family: Bacterial small subunit ribosomal RNA
Source: RNAcentral